GGUUAACGCUGGCGGUAUGUCUAAUACAUGCAAGUCGAGCGAUUCACUUCGGUGAAGAGCGGCGAACGGGUGCGUAACACGUUGGAACCUGCCCCGAACUCAGGGAUAACACCUAGAAAUAGGUGCUAAUACCGGAUAGUCCCGAAAGGGUAAAGAUUUUUCGGUUCGGGAGGGUCCUGCGGCCUAUCAGCUUGUUGGUGAGGUAACUGCUCACCAAGGCUAUGACGGGUAGCUGGUCUGAGAGGAUGAUCAGCCACAAUGGAACUGAGACACGGUCCAU
RNAcentral lists this ribosomal RNA (280 nucleotides) under uncultured bacterium. Its description in RNAcentral is "partial 16S ribosomal RNA". It matches the Rfam family "Bacterial small subunit ribosomal RNA", at positions 28 to 334 of the family's 1533-position model. The record is from RNAcentral.